This 477-nucleotide ribosomal RNA is filed under the name uncultured bacterium. RNAcentral describes it as "partial 16S ribosomal RNA". It matches the Rfam family "Bacterial small subunit ribosomal RNA", at positions 28 to 523 of the family's 1533-position model. The record is from RNAcentral.
GACGAACGCUGGCGGCGUGCUUAACACAUGCAAGUCGAACGGUAAGGCCCUUCGGGGUACACGAGUGGCGAACGGGUGAGUAACACGUGGGUGAUCUGCCCUGCACUUCGGGAUAAGCCUGGGAAACCGGGUCUAAUACCGGAUAGGACUCCGGACUGCAUGGUCUGGGGUGGAAAGCUUUUGCGGUGUGGGAUGGGCCCGCGGCCUAUCAGCUUGUUGGUGGGGUGAUGGCCUACCAAGGCGACGACGGUAGCCGGCCUGAGAGGGUGACCGGCCACACUGGGACUGAGAUACGGCCCAGACUCCUACGGGAGGCAGCAGUGGGGAAUAUUGCACAAUGGGCGCAAGCCUGAUGCAGCGACGCCGCGUGAGGGAUGACGGCCCUCGGGUUGUAAACCUCUUUCAGCACCGACGAAGCGCAAGUGACGGUAGGUGCAGAAGAAGGACCGGCCAACUACGUGCCAGCAGCCGCCGUAA